CGCCAAGUAAACAAUUUUCAGUAUUAGUCUCGUAUGGAUGGAGUUAAAGGAAGCGGUCUUAAUUGAGCCUCAAUCGUCACAGUCUACCCGUACUUCUGAACGAUAAAUCACCAUAUGAGGUGCUUAUCGCUGCGCCUUGGAGCAUUGUGGAAUUCGUGAUCGGACGGAUGCUAUUACCCCGUCACUGAGGCACUGCCAGAUUGGUAAAUUCUACCGGCAUCUAUUCCCGUGGUGAUUCUGAGGCGAUUCGUCUCGCUUGGAGCUCUAUACUCACUCAUAUCAGGGGAAGAAGUAUGAGCUCGGAACACUCAGCGGCAAAAGUUGGAGAAAUCUUCAAUAAGGCAGGGGCAGCCUUCACUCACCUGGGAGAACUCUGCCUUCAGGUGUAUGCAGCGACUGACGAUUUCCGGGAAUACGAUAGGCUCAACUCGUCGCAAGGAUCACAUUUCGAGAAUGCGGCGCUGAUCUCGGACGGCGUUUCUAGAAACACCGUAGGCAAUGAAGUCGACGUAGAGCGACUCAACGAUCGAUGAUAUCGUCGUCCCAUGCUUCUCUUCAUCAGAGCUCCUAUCAGCGAGAGUUCCGCUCGGUGAGCUUGUCCAGCCCCCAAGCGGGCAGGCAC
This 622-nucleotide long non-coding RNA is filed under the name Galendromus occidentalis (western predatory mite). Its description in RNAcentral is "uncharacterized LOC100898784, transcript variant X1". Lineage: Eukaryota; Metazoa; Arthropoda; Arachnida; Mesostigmata; Phytoseiidae. The record is from RNAcentral.